AUGGCCAUCCUCGCCGCCGCCCGCCGGGCCUCCUCCCUUCUCCUCCUCCGCGCCUCCUGUGCACUGCUUCGCCCCGCUGCGUCUCCUUUGACGCCAAGGUCGCCUUGCUCAUCCUCCUUCUUCGACAGCGCCAAGAUCGCCUUGCUCAAAGCCGCGUUGGACUCCAUCGACGCCGAGACCGGCUCCUCCGCCUCCGCCGCCGCACUGUACUCCCUGCGCGCCGCGGCUGACUCCCUCGGCGCUUCCACCUUUGACGACCAUCUCGUCGCGACAUCGACUCCACGAUCAAGUCAUCCACCCGUCCCACCAAGAAGAACUUAUGAGGGUGAGCAGAUUGAAAUUCGGGCUUACACGUACAACUUACUCUACCAUGAUAACGGUAGUAUCCACCUAAAUGUCAGCGUCUCCAAGAGCAAUGGCUCGGACCUUCUAUUUUCCUGCUCUGCGUAUGCCGAUUAUAUCACCAUCGAUUCCAUGAAGAUGACGGGGCAGCUUGAAUCGCAUAAUGGUUUCGAGAAACUAGCUGCAAUACGGUCCUACUUCUUCAAGAAGCAAAAGUACAUGGUCAUAUUCUGGAACGAAGUAGCAAGAAGAAAGAUAUACCCGCCCGCCGGGCCUCCUCCCUUCCCAUCCUCCGCCGAGCCUCCUCCGCGCUGCUCCGUCCAGCGGCCUUGCCGGUGCCGGCGACCAGGUGGAGGUCGUCCUCCUCCAUGCAUCGACGCCGCCAAGACCGCCCUAAUGAAAGCUGCGAUGGACACCGUCCGCGCCGAGCAUGGCUCCAGUAGUGCCUCCGCCGCCGCACUCGACUCCCUCCGCGCCGCCGCCGACUCCCUCAGCACCGCCACCUUUAACGUCCAGCUCCUCUACGGCAUCGACUCCGCGAUCAAGUCCUCAGAGCACCACCGUCUCACCAAGUUCCGUACAUGUUUGGGAUCGAUUGCUUUCGAUUAUUACUAG
RNAcentral lists this ribosomal RNA (957 nucleotides) under Triticum aestivum (bread wheat). RNAcentral describes it as "partial small subunit ribosomal RNA". The record is from RNAcentral. Lineage: Eukaryota; Viridiplantae; Streptophyta; Magnoliopsida; Poales; Poaceae.